UACGGAGGGUGCAAGCGUUAUCCGGAUUCACUGGGUUUAAAGGGUGCGUAGGUGGGUUGGUAAGUCAGUGGUGAAAUCUCCAGGCUUAACUUGGAAACUGCCAUUGAUACUAUCAAUCUUGAAUACCGUGGAGGUCAGCGGAAUAUGUCAUGUAGCGGUGAAAUGCUUAGAUAUGACAUAGAACACCAAUUGCGAAGGCAGCUGGCUACACGAAUAUUGACACUGGAUGCACGAAAGCGUGGGAUCAAACAGGA
RNAcentral lists this ribosomal RNA (254 nucleotides) under uncultured bacterium. RNAcentral's name for it is "partial 16S ribosomal RNA". It matches the Rfam family "Bacterial small subunit ribosomal RNA", at positions 524 to 777 of the family's 1533-position model. The record is from RNAcentral.